AUCAAAAUCUCGCCUAUAUAAUAUAUUUUUACAGUCGAAGGGUCAAAGGCAUAUUGCUAUAAAAUGUCAACACUCACCAUCAUCGUCUUCAAGAGAUAAAUAUUCCAUUAAUAUCUCUAAUUCCUCGCACGAUUCAGACAAAACACUUCCCAUGUACAGCAAAGCACCGCUAUCGUCCAAAACAUCCACGAUUUCUUCCAUAUUCGACGAAUUUUUAGGUUUUCGAGCACAUUUGCAAGUUUUCGAGUGUUUUUGCAAGUUUUCGAGUCACGAUUUCACAGUCCCUCAAAUCAGCGCUGCUCAAAUUACGCGACUGCGCGUACGAAUGAGGGACUGUGGAAGAGUCAGUGUUUUCUAUAUGACUCCGUGUUUUCCAUAUUUUUUCUCUGACGUCAGACUCCGUGUUUUCCAUAUGACUCCGUGUUUUCCAUAUUUUUAUGACGUCAGACUCCGUGUUUUCCAUAUUUUUAUGACGUCAGACUCCGUGUUUUCCAUAUGACUCCGUGUUUUCCAUAUUUUUAUGACGUCAGACUCCGGGACUCCGACUCCGGGACUCCGACUCCGGGGCUCCGACUCCGGAACUCCGACUCCGUGUUUUCCAUCUAACCGAU
Non-coding RNA from Paramuricea clavata, 611 nucleotides. The record is from the annotation of a GenBank genome assembly. NCBI's taxonomy places the organism in Eukaryota, Metazoa, Cnidaria, Anthozoa, Malacalcyonacea, Plexauridae.